Molecule: non-coding RNA, 962 nt
Organism: Camellia sinensis
Lineage: Eukaryota; Viridiplantae; Streptophyta; Magnoliopsida; Ericales; Theaceae
Source: RefSeq, a predicted model, not a curated record
UGGAAGCAUAAUCCAUUCAUUGAAUAAACCCACGAUUAUGUUUUAUCUAAUCUCUCACGCCUCUUACUCACCCAAAAAAAUCUCUCACGCCUCACUCUUCUGUGUCUCUUCUCUGUCACGCCUCACGCCUCACCCCUCACCCCUCUGCCCUCCUCUCUGUUACUAGAGCACCACCGCGGUUAGACGAGCACACCGCAAGGGUUACAGAAGCACCACCGUCGCUUUGUCGGGUAGGGCAAGCACAAUAACCAAGUUGAAUGAGAUAAUCACUACAGUUAAUAUGUACCUGCAAAAAGAAACAAACAUUAUGGCUAUUACACUAUCUUCAAGCUCUUGUCGAUGGCAUGCCUAUUCUUCUCGGCGUGUCUUUGUAUAACUGCAGCUUCAGAGUCAAGCUUCUGGGAUGUGGAGUUUCCGUAUGUUCAGCAAUGAAGAUGUUACGAUUGGUGCAUGGAUGCUUGCAAUGAAUGUCAACCAUGAGGACAACCGACAACUUUGUGAACCAGAAGGUACUCCAUCAUCUAUUGCUGUUUGGGAUAUUCCAAAGUGUUCAGGUUGGUAAUUAACUAAUUAUUCUCAUGGUUUGGAUGCAUGUUCUCUUAGAAACAACCUCCAUAUGCUGAAAUCUAAUAAAAUCCCACCUUGGAGAAAGAGGAAAAAUAAAGGAAAUAAUUUAUCAAGAAUUUUAACAAGGCCCCUCAAAACCCACUGAUUGACUCAAAGAAGUUAGAAAGGAUAAAAAGUUGAUGUGGCAUGGGAGAUAGACAUUCUGUAUUAAUGAAACUGUUUUGUUAUGUUGCGGCAUUGCCCUUAAUAUGUAAUUUAGAUUUUAUUUUUUAUUUUUUUGCAUUUAAUUUGGUUUUGUGGUUGUUUUCCUUUGAAUGGAUGUCAUUGAAACAAAAGCUAUUUGUGCAAAGAAUUGAUUUUUAAAGAAUGUUCUUCUUAUGCAUAGAAGUUAUAUA